CUCCUAGGUGUAGCCCUUAUAGCGCAUACCUCCCCAUUCUCACUAUGUGUGCAACUAAACCCCCCAACUCAAGAAAAAGGGUGCAAAUACCCCCCUCGCCCUAACCUCCGUUUUCUCACCGUUAGUCAGCAUUAUUUUUUUUAUUUUUUAUUUUCUCAACCCUCUUCUUCAAGCCUGCUGCCGCCUUCGAAUUGGGAGAAUUCCCGCCGUGAGGUCGACGAGCGGCCGGCGGCGGUCAUUUGUGGUGGGUAUGGCUCCCGAUGAAGAGAAGAUGACCCGCCGUUCGGCUCUCGAUUUCCCCAUCGUCAUAUACGAAGCAACAUGAGAUUUUUGGAGGAAUUGUGCAAAUACUUUAUCUUUAUGAACAUUAUUUUUGGAAAUUACAAAGAAAUGGAGGGAUGUUGACUACCAUCUCGCCCCUUAGUUGAGCUAGUUUCAGCUGACUCUCAAAUCUGCCAUCAUUUUCUAUGUCGAACUAUUUAGAUAGCAGUUGUAGAAUGAAUUUAGGUGCAGGAGAAACUAACGCAAUUUUGUGGUGAUGUUAUCUAAGAAAGGAGAAUUGGGAUUUGUUUCCUGUUUGAGUUGAGCUCUUUGUAAGCAUCAAGAAUUAGGGAUUGUGGAUGGUUCCAAAUCCUUUUUGCUGUAUGAAUUUCGUGUAAUUCUUAAAACUUACACAUUUAUCUUCGAAUA
Salvia miltiorrhiza (redroot sage) is the source of this 690-nucleotide long non-coding RNA. RefSeq lists it as uncharacterized. The transcript has 2 exons. The record is from RefSeq and is a predicted model, not a curated record. NCBI's taxonomy places the organism in Eukaryota, Viridiplantae, Streptophyta, Magnoliopsida, Lamiales, Lamiaceae.